This 200-nucleotide ribosomal RNA is filed under the name uncultured Coprobacillus sp. Its description in RNAcentral is "partial 16S ribosomal RNA". It matches the Rfam family "Bacterial small subunit ribosomal RNA", at positions 293 to 485 of the family's 1533-position model. Lineage: Bacteria; Bacillati; Bacillota; Erysipelotrichia; Erysipelotrichales; Coprobacillaceae. The record is from RNAcentral.
UGAGAGGGUGACCGGCCACACUGGGACUGAGACACGGCCCAGACUCCUACGGGAGGCAGCAGUAGGGAAUUUUCGGCAAUGGGGGAAACCCUGACCGAGCAACGCCGCGUGAAGGAAGAAGUAAUUCGUUAUGUAAACUUCUGUCAUAGAGGAAGAACGGUGGAUAUAGGGAAUGAUAUCCAAGUGACGGUACUCUAUAA